RNAcentral lists this ribosomal RNA (356 nucleotides) under uncultured bacterium. RNAcentral describes it as "partial 16S ribosomal RNA". It matches the Rfam family "Bacterial small subunit ribosomal RNA", at positions 338 to 691 of the family's 1533-position model. The record is from RNAcentral.
CCUACGGGUGGCAGCAGUGAGGAAUAUUGGUCAAUGGGCGCGAGCCUGAACCAGCCAAGUAGCGUGAAGGAUGACUGCCCUACGGGUUGUAAACUUCUUUUAUAAAGGAAUAAAGUGAGGCACGUGAGCCUUUUUGUAUGUACUUUAUGAAUAAGGAUCGGCUAACUCCGUGCCAGCAGGCGCGGUAAUACGGAGGAGCCGAGCGUUAUCCGGAUUUAUUGGGUUUAAAGGGAGCGUAGAUGGGUUGUUAAGUCAGGUGUGAACUUUUGCGGCUCUACCGUAAAAUUGCAAUUGAUACUGGCAGUCUUUAGUACAUUUGCGUUAGGCGGCAUUCGUGGUGUAGCGGUGAAAUGCUU